This 660-nucleotide ribosomal RNA is filed under the name uncultured bacterium. Its description in RNAcentral is "bacterial SSU rRNA". It matches the Rfam family "Bacterial small subunit ribosomal RNA", at positions 94 to 788 of the family's 1533-position model. The record is from RNAcentral.
AGUGGCGGACGGGGGAGUAACGCGUUAGAAUCUGCCUUGGGGUCGGGGACAACCACUGGAAACGGUGGCUAAUACCGGAUAAGCCGAUUGGUGAAAGAUUUAUUGCCCGAAGAGGAGCUCGCGUCUGAUUAGCUAGUUGGUGAGGUAAGAGCUCACCAAGGCAGCGAUCAGUAGCUGGUCUGAGAGGACGAUCAGCCACACUGGGACUGAGACACGGCCCAGACUCCUACGGGAGGCAGCAGUGGGGAAUUUUCCGCAAUGGGCGAAAGCCUGACGGAGCAAGACCGCGUGAGGGAGGAAGGCUCUUGGGUUGUAAACCUCUUUUCUCAGGGAAGAAGCUCUGACGGUACCUGAGGAAUCAGCCUCGGCUAACUCCGUGCCAGCAGCCGCGGUAAUACGGAGGAGGCAAGCGUUAUCCGGAAUUAUUGGGCGUAAAGCGUCCGCAGGUGGCAAUUCAAGUCUGCUGUCAAAGCACGGGGCUUAACUCCGUUAAGGCAGUGGAAACUGAAUAGCUAGAGUGCCGUAGGGGUAGAGGGAAUUCCCGGUGUAGCGGUGAAAUGCGUAGAGAUCGGGAAGAACAUCGGUGGCGAAAGCGCUCUACUGGACGGCAACUGACACUCAGGGACGAAAGCUAGGGGAGCGAAUGGGAUUAGAUACCCC